This is a long non-coding RNA of Eucalyptus grandis, 1843 nucleotides long. RefSeq lists it as uncharacterized. NCBI's taxonomy places the organism in Eukaryota, Viridiplantae, Streptophyta, Magnoliopsida, Myrtales, Myrtaceae. The record is from RefSeq and is a predicted model, not a curated record. The transcript is spliced from 4 exons.
GCUCAGCUAUCGCAAAGCCUACACCCCGUCCCCUCCUCUUCUUCCCCCACCUCCCUCCAUCCAUCUUCUUUCCAUCACCACUUCAAAUCUGAAGAGGAGAAAGAUGGUCCAAGUUGAUGUCACUGGAGAAAUUGCUCUUUUAUUGUCUCCUCAGACUCUAUUCUCCAUCGGAGAAAGACUCUCCAAAAAGCGACCUUCAUCAAACGCUUGCGUUUUCUGCUGAAAGAUUCCCCACAGAUUGACAACGCUAGUGCCCGAUCGUUUCGAAUUCAGGGCUUUUGUCGACGGCCGGAAAAGCCCCAAGUCCAAACUCCAGUCGGUGUUCGACCUUCAUGGCGAAGAUCCGAGCGGCCUUGUUUCCUGCCGAGGCUGCCGAAACUCGUGAUCCUCCAAUUCUGCUGCUUCCGGCCGACCCUUCUUCGCGAAUUGGUCUUUCGUCUGAUCUGACUGCGGUGAUAGCGAAGAAUAAGACAGCUUCGGAUUCCAGAUUUGUAGUGGCGGUCGGCGAUGAGGAUAGACGGAAUUGAGGGUGAUCUUGUAAUGGCAGCACCUUAGGCUUAUGGCAUUUCGUUGUGAAGUAUGGCGCUUUGGGAUUGGUUGUGCGAGCAUGAAAGAGGGAAGAUUUGGAGCGUUUGCAACUUCCUCUGAUGGUGCAUCAGAGGGAGAAUGAAGACAAGCUUCGGACUGCAUUCACCGUGAUCGCGGAUGCAGAGCAUGGGACGACUGCAGGCGUAUCAAUGCGUGACAGGGCGGCGUCAGCUUUGGCUCUUGCGUCUGGAGAUUCCAAAACCUGAAGAUUUCAACAGGCCGGGACAUGUUUUCCCAUUGAAGUACAGGGAGGGCGGUGCCCUGAAAAGAGCUGGGCAUACAGAGGCUUCUGUCGACCUUGCUGUGUUCGCUAACCUGUGGCAGUUCUCUUUGUGAGGUAGUGGGUGAUGGUGGCUCCAUGGCAAGAUUACGUAAGCUUCAUGGGUUUGCACAGCGGGAGAACUUGAAAAAUGCAUCUAUUGCUGAUCUAAUCAGAGUGACGUUGGAGGUAAUCAAGUUGUCCUUGUGAGGGUAUCCUCAGGAUGCAUCCCAGGAGACAUGUUUGGAUCUGCUAGACGCAACUGCGACCAGCUUGCACUUGCGAUGCAGCAGAUAGAAGUGGCUGGUAGGGCUGUGCUCGUCUAUCCCUGAGGGCACAAAGGAGAGGAAUAGGUUGAGGCACGUAUUACGUGCCUAUAACCUGCAGGAUGGUGGGCGUGAUUCCAUGGAAGCAAAUGUGGAACUUGGAUUGCCUGUUUACUCUCAAGAGUAUGGAAUCAGUGUUCAGGGAGUCAGAACUAUGAAGCUGAUGAGGUACCUGGGGUUCAAAGAUUAUGGCCUGAUGAUUGCUGAGACAGUCCCCCUAGUAACUCCCAUACAAAGGAGAAGAGAUACUUGGAGACAAAACGUUCAAGAUGGGGCACAUUUAUGGAGUAGAAGUCAAUGGUCGCUUCAGCAAUCUCAUCAGCAAAAAGGGGAAGCCUAGCAGUCCUGUUUCUUCUGAUCCAGCUGUGUCUGACUUAUAGGAGCUACUGGAUAGUUCUACUGCUAAUGAUUUAUCUGAGGGGAGACAAGCAAGUUCACUUACGGAUGGUGUUAUUACUUUAAGUUUAAAGCCCUAUGGUCAAGAACAUUGCGAUACCUGCUGACCAUGAGUUCUGUAAAUUUUAUUGCGAUUCAGUUUUACAAUCAUUGAUCUGUCUAUGCCAUUCAUCCAUUUUGUAAGGUAAGAAGGUGAAAGACUAACCCUCUAAUUGAAACUUCCUUUUGUGUUAUUGAUGGAUGGCAAGAAUUAUCCUUAAUUCACCUUUCCGUA